Long non-coding RNA from Pyrus x bretschneideri (Chinese white pear), 2289 nucleotides. RefSeq lists it as uncharacterized. The record is from RefSeq and is a predicted model, not a curated record. The transcript has 3 exons. Lineage: Eukaryota; Viridiplantae; Streptophyta; Magnoliopsida; Rosales; Rosaceae.
UUAUCACCUUCCAAGUUCUAACAAUGGCUUCCUGAAUCCGAUGCUGGAGCUCCAUCGCCACAACCGUCAACCCCAAAGAUCACAUCACGAAGCUUGCUCCUUCCAUCCUCUUCCUCUCUCUCAGCUUCUCCUCUUUUCUUAGUCCUGCCACUGCUAGAGGCGGCCUUCACAGUUCCUACCCUCCAGGUGCCAAACGGUAGUUAAUUGUGAUCAGAUAGAUUAUCACGCCUGUUGCUUUCUUAAAAUCUUUACAGUUAAGGUUUCGAAUUUGGUCCUCGCGCUGGUUCCAGCAGGCAAUUGUUUGAAGUUAAUGAGUCUCAGACGCGGCAUUUAUCACUAAAGUUGAAGUUUAGUAGCUUAACAUGAAUUAUGUAAUCUAACUUGAUAUACUUAUGUGUUUACUGAAAUUGUGAAAAAUUGUGACAGUCUUGAUGUGGCUCAAGGUCAAGGGUACAUGACUAACUUUGACCUGGAACGGGCUAUUAAGGCGUUCAGCCAAAGAUGCAGUAACAUUUCUAGGGUUUACAGGUGAUUACGUGGGCUUGUGCAUUUUUAACAUUUACCAGAUUAUAAGUUUACCACUCGUUAGUAUAUGAAAUAAAACAAUGGUAUUUGUUAGUAGUAGUUUGAUAGUUUGAGCUGGAUAAGUGCAGGAUUUUUACUGUAGAAUUUUUGUUUGUGCAUCUCAUGAUGAUUAUGCUGAUUUAAUCUCAUGAAUAUUAAUUUAUCCAAAUUGCAUCCAAGCUGCUAUUUGGUAAAAACUUUUGAAUCCUGAAAUUUUAAUCCGUCCUAUAUACAAUCAAUUUUUUGGAACAUGGCAGGAUUUUUGAAGGAAAACGCAGUAGUGUCCCCCCUUCCUCUCUGUAUAUAAUAACGUAGAAAUUAUAUUUGUUCCAUAACCCCGAAAAAGUUAUUAUUCAAAAGAACAGGAAUCUGCUUUGACUCUGUCGAGAUUAGCACAAAUUAGUCCUUGCAGCUGGUUGAAACUGAAUUUAACCAUAGAGCUGUGUAAUAAGGAUGCAGACACCAGUAUCUGAAAUCUUUUUGCAACAAUAACGCUGAAUAAGGGUCAGAAACUUAAAUAUAGGAAGUUUACAUUGAUUGCCCAUUAGUGGAAGUUAAAAAAGUGCGACACCUUUGAAUCCAGAAGGGUGCAGUACCUAUUUACCACCAAUUUGAGUUGAUUCUGGUAUUGGAGAAUAUCCAUCUGCAGUCUUUAUAAAAGUUUUAUUCAUUCCGCUAGUUCAAUUAUGUUACUAUGAGCCACUUAUGACCACAAGAAACUUAUAAUGAAACUGAGAAGCUGUAGUAUGAAAAAGAUUAUAACUUAUAAGUACAUGCCAAAAGAUUGAAGUGUAGUAUUUCGCGUUUACUGUUGAAAAAUGAAGUCAUGAAUUUCACUUUUUGUAGAAAAAGUUUUACGUACUACCCGGAUUUCAGUUUAUUGAGUGUUUGUAUAGGUGACAGUGUAGUAUUUUAGUAUUCGGUGUGCUACAUGAAAGCUUUCUUUUGUUUCUUUUCCGUUCCCCUGAAUGUAAAUCGAUUGUUACUUAUUUAUGCAAUUUCAAGUGAUAGUUUGAACAUUUUUAAAAAAAAUAUGCUGGGUGCAGCAGUGCAUUGGAAAUGUGCAUGGAGAUGAACCUGUAGGCUGUGAGCUUCUAAUUCUACUUGCAAAUUGGAUAUGUCUAAUUAUUGUUCUGUAACUCUUUAGUGUUAUAACCUACUUUGCUUUGUAAUUUAUGGCAAUUUUAAGUUACUUCAUUCUUAAAUUUUUGUCUUUUGCUAUUUUCAAUGUUUUCCCUCGUUACUCUUAUUUUCAUCUUUUUGUUCCUGUUUUGACAUAUCUACUUUGCAAUUGCAAAUAAAACUAUUUUCAGACUUGUUAACGGAAAAGAAGAAAACUAUUUUCAGACUACUUCUGGAAGCUUCCUCAAUUUGCUAGCCAUUUGUGAAUUUUUAACACUUUAAUUGUGAUGUGUAAAGGCUUGGUUGUUGUUGAAGGAUUCACCCUACUUAAUGGCGUCCUAGGAUGCAUACAGCCGACCCCACUUAGCGGGAUAAGGUUUGGUUGUUGUUGUUGUUGUUUGAUUGUGAUGUGUGAUUUUUAGUAGACUGUAGGAAAUUUAAAGAUGUGUUGUACUCAGUUUGAUCCCCCAGUGUGCUUUAGAACUAGAAGAAACCAUCAUUUCAUGAAUGCUUGUGUCUUCUGUAAAAUAAAAUUGAUAUCGUGCCAAAUUAAUUGUAAAUCUUAAUAGUGUGGAGGAAAGAAAUCCUUUCCGCAAGACAUAA